This 301-nucleotide ribosomal RNA is filed under the name uncultured bacterium. Its description in RNAcentral is "partial 16S ribosomal RNA". It matches the Rfam family "Bacterial small subunit ribosomal RNA", at positions 509 to 809 of the family's 1533-position model. The record is from RNAcentral.
CAGUCGCCGCGGUAAUACAGAGGGUGCAAGCGUUAAUCGGAAUUACUGGGCGUAAAGCGCGCGUAGGUGGUUCGCCAAGUUGGAUGUGAAAUCCCCGGGCUCAACCUGGGAACUGCAUCCAAAACUGGCGAGCUAGAGUAUGGUAGAGGGUGGUGGAAUUUCCUGUGUAGCGGUGAAAUGCGUAGAUAUAGGAAGGAACAUCAGUGGCGAAGGCGACCACCUGGACUGAUACUGACACUGAGGUGCGAAAGCGUGGGGAGCAAACAGGAUUAGAUACCCCCGUAGUCCCUGUCUCUUAUAA